AGCGAACGUUGGCGGGAUGUCUUAAGCAUGCAAGUUGAGCGGCAGCACUUCGGGUGGCGAGCGGCGAACUGGUGAGUAACGCGUAGAUUAUCUGCCCUAUGGACGGGGAUAGCUCCUGGAAACAGGGAUUAAUACCCGAUAUGAGUAUACUUGAAAGCGGCGUUUGCCGCACCAUAAGAUGAGUCUGCGUCCCAUUAGCUUGUUGGCGGGGUAAAGGCCCACCAAGGCGACGAUGGGUAGCCGGCCUGAGAGGGUGAUCGGCCACAUCGGGACUGAGAUACGGCCCGG
RNAcentral lists this ribosomal RNA (288 nucleotides) under uncultured bacterium. RNAcentral's name for it is "partial 16S ribosomal RNA". It matches the Rfam family "Bacterial small subunit ribosomal RNA", at positions 29 to 334 of the family's 1533-position model. The record is from RNAcentral.